This is a long non-coding RNA of Carassius gibelio (silver crucian carp), 150 nucleotides long. RefSeq lists it as uncharacterized. The transcript is spliced from 3 exons. Lineage: Eukaryota; Metazoa; Chordata; Actinopteri; Cypriniformes; Cyprinidae. The record is from RefSeq and is a predicted model, not a curated record.
AUAAUGAGUGUGUCACGACCGGUUUUCUUCUCUCUUUAAUGAGUGUGUCACGACAGGUUUUCUUCUCUCUAUAAUGAGUGUGUCACGACCGGUUUUCUUCUGUCUAUAAUGAGUGUGUCACGACAGGUUUUCUUCUCUCUAUAAUGAGUG